This 297-nucleotide ribosomal RNA is filed under the name uncultured bacterium. RNAcentral's name for it is "partial 16S ribosomal RNA". The stretch from base 46 to 290 matches the Rfam family "Bacterial small subunit ribosomal RNA", at positions 106 to 347 of the family's 1533-position model. The record is from RNAcentral.
CCGGUUCGGUCCGGGCCCGGGACCCGGGACCGGCCGACCGGGUACGGGAGUAACACGUAUGCACCACGCCCGUGGCAGGGGGAUAAGCGGGGGAAACCCCGUCUAAUACCGCGUAACGCGGCCUUGGGGCAUCCCAAGGCCGCCAAAGGGAGCAAUCCCGGCCACGGAUGGGCAUGCGGCGCAUUAGCUAGUCGGCGGGGUAACGGCCCACCGAGGCGACGAUGCGUAGGGGUUCUGAGAGGAAGGCCCCCCACACUGGUACUGAGACACGGACCAGACUCCUACGGAAGGCAGCAG